This is a long non-coding RNA of Oxyura jamaicensis (ruddy duck), 514 nucleotides long. RefSeq lists it as uncharacterized. The record is from RefSeq and is a predicted model, not a curated record. The transcript has 4 exons. NCBI's taxonomy places the organism in Eukaryota, Metazoa, Chordata, Aves, Anseriformes, Anatidae.
UUUUUUUUUUUUUUUUUACUUGAAACAAAGUCUCAGCACAGCAGCCCGAUGAGCGGCGAUGCCAGGCAGGCGACGGUCUGAGAAGAGGAGGACUCAGGCGCUAGUGCAGAUUUGUUGGAAAGAGGAAUUUGAUGACUACAGCCUAUGAAGAUGAUUAGAAGACUGGAGAAACUGUCAUAUGAGGACUAAAGAAGUGUCAUACGAGGCUGAAAGAACUGGGCCUGUUUAGGUUGGAAAAGAAAAGACAGAGGAAAGGUUCCAUUUAAGAGGUUAUUGCCCUAGCUCUCUGCUAAACACAGGAAGACGCAUCCAGACAUCCAACUCCACCUGCCCUGAGUGACCACUUCGGCAGAUGAAGACUAAAUAGUCAACAGUUCUUAUGGACAUUUUCCCGAGAGAGACAUAUAGAAUGUAAAGAUGUACCUACCUAUCAAUUUGUUAAAGAACAAGGAACAAUGAUGAUGAGAAUAUGCCAGAGUAUAGGGGACCUGAGAGUGACACAAAUGUUAUGGAA